CAGGCUUAACACAUGCAAGUCGAGGGGCAGCAUGGUCUUAGCUUGCUAAGGCCGAUGGCGACCGGCGCACGGGUGAGUAACACGUAUCCAACCUGCCGUCUACUCUUGGACAGCCUUUUGAAAGGAAGAUUAAUACAAGAUGGCAUCAUGAGUCCGCAUGUUCACAUGAUUAAAGGUAUUCCGGUAGACGAUGGGGAUGCGUUCCAUUAGAUAGUAGGCGGGAUAACGGCCCACCUAGUCUUCGAUGGAUAGGGGUUCUGAGAGGAAGGUCCCCCACAUUGGAACUGAGACACGGUCCAAACUCCUACGGGAGGCAGCAGUGAGGAAUAUUGGUCAAUGGGCGAGAGCCUGAACCAGCCAAGUAGCGUGAAGGAUGACUGCCCUAUGGGUUGUAAACUUCUUUUAUAAAGGAAUAAAGUCGGGUAUGGAUACCCGUUUGCAUGUACUUUAUGAAUAAGGAUCGGCUAACUCCGUGCCAGCAGCCGCGGUAAUACGGAGGAUCCGAGCGUUAUCCGGAUUUAUUGGGUUUAAAGGGAGCGUAGAUGGAUGUUUAAGUCAGUUGUGAAAGUUUGCGGCUCAACCGUAAAAUUGCAGUUGAUACUGGAUAUCUUGAGUGCAGUUGAGGCAGGCGGAAUUCGUGGUGUAGCGGUGAAAUGCUUAGAUAUCACGAAGAACUCCGAUUGCGAAGGCAGCCUGCUAAGCUGCAACUGACAUUGAGGCUCGAAAGUGUGGGUAUCAAACAGGAUUAGAUACCCUGGUAGUCCACACGGUAAACGAUGAAUACUCGCUGUUUGCGAUAUACUGCAAGCGGCCAAGCGAAAGCGUUAAGUAUUCCACCUGGGGAGUACGCCGGCAACGGUGAAACUCAAAGGAAUUGACGGGGGCCCGCACAUGCGGAGGAACAUGUGGUUUAAUUCGAUGAUACGCGAGGAACCUUACCCGGGCUUAAAUUGCAGAUGAAUUACGGUGAAAGCCGUAAGCCGCAAGGCAUCUGUGAAGGUGCUGCAUGGUUGUCGUCAGCUCGUGCCGUGAGGUGUCGGCUUAAGUGCCAUAACGAGCGCAACCCUUGUUGUCAGUUACUAACAGGUUCCGCUGAGGACUCUGACAAGACUGCCAUCGUAAGAUGUGAGGAAGGUGGGGAUGACGUCAAAUCAGCACGGCCCUUACGUCCGGGGCUACACACGUGUUACAAUGGGGGGUACAGAGGGCCGCUACCACGCGAGUGGAUGCCAAUCCCCAAAACCUCUCUCAGUUCGGACUGGAGUCUGCAACCCGACUCCACGAAGCUGGAUUCGCUAGUAAUCGCGCAUCAGCCACGGCGCGGUGAAUACGUUCCCGGGCCUUGUACACACCGCCCGUCAAGCCAUGGGAGCCGGGGGUACCUGAAGUGCGUAACCGCGAGGAGCGCCCUAGGGUAAAACUGGUGACUGGGGCU
Molecule: ribosomal RNA, 1435 nt
Filed under: uncultured organism
Description: SSU rRNA
Rfam family: Bacterial small subunit ribosomal RNA
Source: RNAcentral